Molecule: non-coding RNA, 112 nt
Organism: Acanthosepion pharaonis
Lineage: Eukaryota; Metazoa; Mollusca; Cephalopoda; Sepiida; Sepiidae
Source: the annotation of a GenBank genome assembly
UGUAGCCAUAUCACUUCCAAACACCUGUUCUCAUAAGAUUACCGAAGUUAGACAACUUCGACCCCGGUUAGUACCUAGCUGGGUGAUCUCUUGGGAAUACCAGGUGUUGUAA